GCUGCUGUGGCUCAGUCGGUAGAGCACAUCCUUGGUAAGGAUGAGGUCGGCAGUUCAAGUCUGCUCAGCAGCUCCA
Molecule: transfer RNA, 76 nt
Filed under: Bacillota bacterium
Lineage: Bacteria; Bacillati; Bacillota
Also listed under: 3 other names
Description: Firmicutes bacterium (gut metagenome) tRNA-Thr
Rfam family: tRNA
About the family: Transfer RNA (tRNA) molecules are approximately 80 nucleotides in length. Their secondary structure includes four short double-helical elements and three loops (D, anti-codon, and T loops).
Source: RNAcentral